CCUACGGGCCGCACCAGUGGGGAAUAUUGCACAAUGGGCGCAAGCCUGAUGCGGCCAUGCCGCGUGUAUGAAGAAGGCCUCGGGUUGUAAAGUACUUUCAGUCGGGAGGAAGGUGGUGAGCUUAAUACGCUCAUCAAUUGACGUUACCGACAGAAGAAGCACCGGCUAACUCCGUGCCAGCAGCCGCGGUAAUACGGAGGGUGCAAGCGUUAAUCGGAAUUACUGGGCGUAAAGCGCACGCAGGCGGUUGAUUGAGUCAGAUGUGAAAUCCCCGGGCUUAACCCGGGAAUUGCAUCUGAUACUGGUCAGCUAGUGUCUUGUAGAGGGGGGUAGAAUUCCAGGUGUAGCGGUGAAAUGCGUAGAGAUCUGGAGGAAUACCGGUGGCGAAGGCGGCCCCCUGGACAAAGACUGACGCUCAGGUGCGAAAGCGUGGGGAGCAAACAGGAUUAGAUACCCGCGUAGUC
This 464-nucleotide ribosomal RNA is filed under the name uncultured bacterium. RNAcentral's name for it is "bacterial SSU rRNA". It matches the Rfam family "Bacterial small subunit ribosomal RNA", at positions 338 to 795 of the family's 1533-position model. The record is from RNAcentral.